Molecule: ribosomal RNA, 729 nt
Filed under: Triticum aestivum (bread wheat)
Lineage: Eukaryota; Viridiplantae; Streptophyta; Magnoliopsida; Poales; Poaceae
Description: partial small subunit ribosomal RNA
Source: RNAcentral
AUGCGGAAGGCGUACAGGGACUCCCUCAAGGUGCUCGAAGCUGACAUCCAGCACGCCAACACCCUGGCGACUGAAUUUCCGCGGGAGUACGAUGGGGCGUGCCUGCAGAUGCGGCUGUCGUUUAGCCCCGCCGCGCACAUAUUCCUCUUCCUGGUGCAGUGGACGGACUGCAGCCUCGCUGGGGCUCUCGGAUUGAUGAGGAUCCUCAUAUACAAGGUCUACGUCGAUGGCACAACCACCAUGUCGACCCAUGAGAGGAAAGCCAGCAUCAAGGAAUUCUAUGCUGUAAUAUUUCCUUCUUUGCUGCAACUGCAAAGAGGGAUCACUGAUAUGGAGGACAAGAAGCAGAAGGCCGUGUGUAUGGAGAGGUACAGAAGGAGAGAUGAAGACGAAACAAGCAGCUUAUCUGAUGUUGAUGCUGAGUGGGAGGAGGAAUGUGGGAUCUGCAUGGAGAUGAACAGCAAAGUUGUGUUGCCCAACUGCACACAUGCGAUGUGUCUCAGAUGCUAUCAGGACUGGAACUCGAGGUCACAGUCCUGCCCAUUCUGCCGCGACAACUUGAAGAAGACUGACCCUGGUGACUUGUGGAUUUACGUCGAGGACGAUGACGUGGUCGACAUGGAGACGGUAUCAAGAGAGAACCUCAGACGGCUGUUCAUGUACAUAAACAAGCUCCCUCUGAUCGUGCCUGAUGUCAUCUUCAGUGUCUAUGAUUCCCACAUAAAAUGA